Molecule: ribosomal RNA, 301 nt
Filed under: uncultured bacterium
Lineage: Bacteria
Description: partial 16S ribosomal RNA
Rfam family: Bacterial small subunit ribosomal RNA
Source: RNAcentral
CAGUAGCCGCGGGAAUACGUAGGUGGCAAGCGUUGUCCGGAAUUAUUGGGCGUAAAGGGCUCGCAGGCGGUUUCUUAAGUCUGAUGUGAAAGCCCCCGGCUCAACCGGGGAGGGUCAUUGGAAACUGGGAAACUUGGGUGCAGAAGAGGAGAGUGGAAUUCCACGUGUAGCGGUGAAAUGCGUAGAGAUGUGGAGGAACACCAGUGGCGAAGGCGACUCUCUGGUCUGUAACUGACACUGAGGAGCGAAAGCGUGGGGAGCGAACAGGAUUAGAUACCCCCGUAGUCCCUGUCUCUUAUAU